This 62-nucleotide transfer RNA is filed under the name Aneides lugubris. RNAcentral's name for it is "tRNA-His". It matches the Rfam family "tRNA". Rfam says of the family: Transfer RNA (tRNA) molecules are approximately 80 nucleotides in length. Their secondary structure includes four short double-helical elements and three loops (D, anti-codon, and T loops). The record is from RNAcentral. Lineage: Eukaryota; Metazoa; Chordata; Amphibia; Caudata; Plethodontidae.
GUAUAUAUAAUUUAAAUAAAAUAUUAAACUGUGACUUUAAUUAUGAGAGUUAAAACCUCUCU